GACGAACGCUGGCGGCGUGCUUAACACAUGCAAGUCGAACGGAAAGGCCCUGCUUUUGUGGGGUGCUCGAGUGGCGAACGGGUGAGUAACACGUGAGUAACCUGCCCUUGACUUUGGGAUAACUUCAGGAAACUGGGGCUAAUACCGGAUAGGAGCUCCUGCUGCAUGGUGGGGGUUGGAAAGUUUCGGCGGUUGGGGAUGGACUCGCGGCUUAUCAGCUUGUUGGUGGGGUAGUGGCUUACCAAGGCUUUGACGGGUAGCCGGCCUGAGAGGGUGACCGGCCACAUUGGGACUGAGAUACGGCCCAGACUCCUACGGGAGGCAGCAGUGGGGAAUAUUGCACAAUGGGCGGAAGCCUGAUGCAGCAACGCCGCGUGCGGGAUGACGGCCUUCGGGUUGUAAACCGCUUUCGCCUGUGACGAAGCGUGAGUGACGGUAAUGGGUAAAGAAGCACCGGCUAANUACGUGCCAGCAGCCGCGGUGAUACGUAGGGUGCGAGCGUUGUCCGGAUUUAUUGGGCGUAAAGGGCUCGUAGGUCGUUGAUCGCGUCGGAAGUGUAAUCUUGGGGCUUAACCCUGAGCGUGCUUUCGAUACGGGUUGACUUGAGGAAGGUAGGGGAGAAUGGAAUUCCUGGUGGAGCGGUGGAAUGCGCAGAUAUCAGGAGGAACACCAGUGGCGAAGGCGGUUCUCUGGGCCCUUCCUGACGCUGAGGAGCGAAAGCGUGGGGAGCGAACAGGCUUAGAUACCCAGGUAGUCCACGCUGUAAACGGUGGGUACUAGGUGUGGGGUCCAUUCCACGGGUUCCGUGCCGUAGCUAACGCUUUAAGUACCCCGCCUGGGGAGUACGGCCGCAAGGCUAAAACUCAAAGGAAUUGACGGGGCCCCGCACAAGCGGCGGAGCAUGCGGAUUAAUUCGAUGCAACGCGUAGAACCUUACCCUGGGUUUGACAUGGAUCGGGAUGCCUCAGAAAGGGAUGUGCCUCUUUUGGGGUCGGUUCACAGGUGGUGCAUGGCUGUCGUCAGCUCGUGUCGUGAGAUGUUGGGUUAAGUCCCGCAACGAGCGCAACCCUUGUUCACUGUUGCCAGCACGUUAUGGUGGGGACUCAGUGGAGACCGCCGGGGUCAACUCGGAGGAAGGUGGGGAUGACGUCAAGUCAUCAUGCCCCUUAUGUCCAGGGCUUCACGCAUGCUACAAUGGCUGGUACAGAGAGUGGCGAGCCUGUAAGGGUGAGCGAACCGCGGAAAGCCGGUCUCAGUUCGGAUUGGGGUCUGCAACUCGACCUCAUGAAGUCGGAGUCGCUAGUAAUCGCAGAUCAGCAACGCUGCGGUGGAUACGUUCCCGGGGCUUGUACACACCGCCCGUCAAGUCAUGAAAGUUGGUAACACCCGAAGCCGGUGGCCUAACCGUUGUGGGGGAGCCGUCGAAGGUGGGACUGGUGAUUAGGACUAAGUCGUAACAAGGUAGCCGUACCGGAAGG
RNAcentral lists this ribosomal RNA (1478 nucleotides) under uncultured bacterium. Its description in RNAcentral is "bacterial SSU rRNA". It matches the Rfam family "Bacterial small subunit ribosomal RNA". The record is from RNAcentral.